Molecule: ribosomal RNA, 377 nt
Filed under: Micromonas sp.
Lineage: Eukaryota; Viridiplantae; Chlorophyta; Mamiellophyceae; Mamiellales; Mamiellaceae
Description: partial small subunit ribosomal RNA
Rfam family: Eukaryotic small subunit ribosomal RNA
Source: RNAcentral
AGCUCCAAUAGCGUAUAUUUAAGUUGUUGCAGUUAAAAAGCUCGUAGUUGGAUUUCGGUUGAGAACGGCCGGUCCGCCGUUUGGUGUGCACUGGCUGGUUUCAACUUCCUGUAGAGGACGCGCUCUGGCUUCACGGCUGGACGCGGAGUCUACGUGGUUACUUUGAAAAAAUUAGAGUGUUCAAAGCGGGCUUACGCUUGAAUAUUUCAGCAUGGAAUAACACUAUAGGACUCCUGUCCUAUUUCGUUGGUCUCGGGACGGGAGUAAUGAUUAAGAGGAACAGUUGGGGGCAUUCGUAUUUCAUUGUCAGAGGUGAAAUUCUUGGAUUUAUGAAAGACGAACUUCUGCGAAAGCAUUUGCCAAGGAUGUUUUCAUUA